Molecule: long non-coding RNA, 1722 nt
Filed under: Linum usitatissimum (flax)
Lineage: Eukaryota; Viridiplantae; Streptophyta; Magnoliopsida; Malpighiales; Linaceae
Description: long non-coding RNA (LUSI_LNC002845)
Source: RNAcentral
CGGCCACAACGUGAUAUUCUUACCACUAAACUACAGCCACAAUUGUGUACUAAUUGAACUAAAGCCAUUAAAGAAAAGGUAUUCUAGAAAUAUAGUGAAAUUAAUAUUAUAUAUUAAUAAUUAACAUAUAUGCUUUACUAAUUAUAUUAUAACCAAAUCUUACACAUCCAAAUAAUUAAUUUUGCUGGCAUUCAUUACUUAAUAUAAACUAGACAUGCAGUACCCUUAUAUAUAUAUGUUUCUUACUUGUAACUAGUACGUACUCGAUUCCAGCUACUUCCAUGCAUGCAUAUACAUAUCACUACACGUGGACGCCCGUACAUGUAGAGAGUAGGUAUUUCACAUAUAUAUGUAUACAUCAUAGGGGUGAGGUGGACUGAUGAGUCAGCACGCCCGAUGAUGACGAGGAUCAGUUAGGAAUGAGCUUGAAACGUGGCUUGGAGAGAGCUGGUGUUGGAUCGUAGCUUCCAUAGUCUUUUGUGUUUGCUCUCAGUACCCUCUCCCUUACUACUACUUCUGUCUGUAAAUUAAAAUAAUAAACAAAUCGGACAAAUUAAAGUUCACAUUUAGUGAUGUUAUCGUUAGGUAAAAUUUGAAUUUUUUGGUUUCAUCAAGUCAAGUGAGUCUGGUAAUAUCAUGACAAGAGGCGAAAUGAUUACGCAUUUCAAGUUUCUCAAAUCUAAGUUUCCUAGGAACAAAAGUUAAGCUCUAAAACCCAUUUGGCAACAUUUGAGUACUUACCAUUCAUGUAUGUUUGUUUCCAUAGCCCCUUUCGAUUUUUUUUUUGACUAUUAGUAGAAUGGAAGGAAAAUCUUAAUAUAGUGCUAUGAAAAUAAAAGUUAAAACGGUAUUUAGUGCUAAUUAAGGACGAAUAACGAUAUAGUGUGUACUUUAUUUUCGGUAUAUAUAUCACUGAAAAAUAAAAUCCAAAUCUGUUCUACCUCAAAAGAGGGGAUGAUGCCUUCACCCGGUUCGUUGCUGUCUUCGUGACUAUUCAAUUCAAAUCCUCGACUAGCUGCAUCAAAAAAUAAAAAAAAACCCGAAAAUUUAUUACUUUUUGCAUGGAAGCUAUAUAAGAUUUGUCCAUCCAUGAUUCCGCCAUCGAUUAAGACAAUUUGUGAAAUUCUAUUCCUUACCACUCGACUAAUUAUACACCGUCUUUUGUAAGAUAGAUGAAUAAAAUCAUACUUUCUUGUGGAAAAAAUUUAGUGAGAAUGAAGAAGAGUGAAAAGAGGUUGGUAUGAGUAAAAAGACUUGGUCUCAACUGGUUCUAACAAUCGUCUAGUUGGAAUUCAAUUAGUUAGUUUAUAACUUAUUUGACGCAGUUGGAAUCUGUUCUCACAAUUAGACGUUUUCACGUUAGGAUAAUAUCCUGGUGCACGAAGGAUGGUUUAUUGUGCCAUUUUAACUCGAAUACGUAAUAAGUAAGGUAGCGUACCUGCAAGACAGAGAGAAGGGAGGGACAGUAAUAUUGCCGAGGAGAUGAGAAGUAGAAGCAACACCAUCAUCCCACCACAUUUCUUCACACCAUGAUGAUCAACUUCCAUUGAUACAGCUUCAACACCUUAGUUGGUAUAUUUACUUUCACCUCUUUAAUGGCGGUUUCUCCCUCUGACUGUUUGUUUCAACUUAUGUUAUGAAGAUUUCAAAGGACAGAGAGAAGUAUGGAUGCAUACAUAUUUGCUUAAUACCUAGCCAGCUCUUCAUAUAUCUAAUCUCAAU